AUUACAGUUGCUCUAUCCUCCCCUUUAUGUAUGUACUUGAAUAAGUACUUGAUAGAUCUCGACUUAUUGCACCACUCUACAUUUAUGUGUGCCUGGUACUUGACUAUGAGGUCCCUAUUGUAUGGAACAACAUAGCUGCUAUCUAGUUCUACUCCAUUUUUUUGUACUGUCUUUCCAUCAUCCCUUCUUCUGUAUACAGGAAAUCCUUCUUCAUCGAUACUUGUUUCCUCACAGAACUUCUUUGGAAAAUGUUUUGAGCACUUUCCAUUGAUCAUGCAAGGCCGCUAUAUAGCUCCGUCCUAAGUGUGCCUUGAUGCGUCUUGUACCAAUUCAGCCUCCACUGCUCAAUGCAUGCUGCUGCGUCUACUAUGAAUUGAAGGAACAACUUGCCACUCAUUUGCAGGACCACCGAUUGAUUUAGUCGCUGCUGGAUACGAUAUGCAUAAUACUCCAUCAUGGUUAAUAUAUUGAAGGAUGCGUGGAACAUCUUUUGAAGAAAAUGAUGGAAUUAUCUUCGUAAAGUUGUACCUUUGUUUUGUCAGAGGCACAUGAUUCUUCGACAUGGAGGCCGAGGCUAUUGCUGCUGAGUUUAGAAGUUUUGAUCGAUCCCUUUGCAACAACGUAGAACUUUUUUGUCUUCUCCGGACCUAAUGUAUAGUGCUGUAAAAUCAUGGACGCUCAUAAUUAUAGAAACACCAACGUGAGAUAAACAUGAAUUACAAUUACAAUAACCUUGA
Lolium rigidum is the source of this 737-nucleotide long non-coding RNA. RefSeq lists it as uncharacterized. The record is from RefSeq and is a predicted model, not a curated record. Lineage: Eukaryota; Viridiplantae; Streptophyta; Magnoliopsida; Poales; Poaceae. The transcript has 4 exons.